This 649-nucleotide ribosomal RNA is filed under the name Salmonella enterica subsp. enterica serovar Typhimurium. RNAcentral's name for it is "partial 23S ribosomal RNA". It matches the Rfam family "Bacterial large subunit ribosomal RNA", at positions 1154 to 1771 of the family's 2925-position model. The record is from RNAcentral. Lineage: Bacteria; Pseudomonadati; Pseudomonadota; Gammaproteobacteria; Enterobacterales; Enterobacteriaceae.
CGUAUCACCCAAGACAACUUUACGGAGUUGACGAUUGACGGAGCGAAGCGACGUCAAAGCGUUCAUUAAAGUCGAGUUGGCUUAGGGAUACGUUCGUUGGGUAGGGGAGCGUUCUGUAAGCCUGUGAAGGUGUGUCGUGAGGCAUGCUGGAGGUAUCAGAAGUGCGAAUGCUGACAUAAGUAACGAUAAAGCGGGUGAAAAGCCCGCUCGCCGGAAGACCAAGGGUUCCUGUCCAACGUUAAUCGGGGCAGGGUGAGUCGACCCCUAAGGCGAGGCCGAAAGGCGUAGUCGAUGGGAAACGGGUUAAUAUUCCCGUACUUGGUGUUACUGCGAAGGGGGGACGGAGAAGGCUAUGUUGGCCGGGCGACGGUUGUCCCGGUUUAAGCGUGUAGGUGUGUGUUCCAGGUAAAUCCGGUUCACUUUAACACUGAGGCGUGACGACGAGGCACUACGGUGCUGAAGCAACAAAUGCCCUGCUUCCAGGAAAAGCCUCUAAGCAUCAGGUAACAUCAAAUCGUACCCCAAACCGACACAGGUGGUCAGGUAGAGAAUACCAAGGCGCUUGAGAGAACUCGGGUGAAGGAACUAGGCAAAAUGGUGCCGUAACUUCGGGAGAAGGCACGCUGACACGUAGGUGAAGUGAUUUACU